GACGAACGCUGGCGGCGUGCUUAACACAUGCAAGUCGAACGGAAAGGCCCUGCUUUUGUGGGGUGCUCGAGUGGCGAACGGGUGAGUAACACGUGAGUAACCUGCCCUUGACUUUGGGAUAACUUCAGGAAACUGGGGCUAAUACCGGAUAGGAGCUCCUGCUGCAUGGUGGGGGUUGGAAAGUUUCGGCGGUUGGGGAUGGACUCGCGGCUUAUCAGCUUGUUGGUGGGGUAGGGGCUUACCAAGGCUUUGACGGGUAGCCGGCCUGAGAGGGUGACCGGCCACAUUGGGACUGAGAUACGGCCCAGACUCCUACGGGAGGCAGCAGUGGGGAAUAUUGCGCAAUGGGCGGAAGCCUGAUGCAGCAACGCCGCGUGCGUGAUGACGGCCUUCGGGGUGUAAACCGCUUUCGCCUGUGACGAAGCGUGAGUGACGGUAAUGGGUAAAGAAGCACCGGCUAACUACGUG
RNAcentral lists this ribosomal RNA (468 nucleotides) under uncultured bacterium. RNAcentral describes it as "partial 16S ribosomal RNA". It matches the Rfam family "Bacterial small subunit ribosomal RNA", at positions 28 to 507 of the family's 1533-position model. The record is from RNAcentral.